Acanthopagrus latus (yellowfin seabream) is the source of this 6570-nucleotide long non-coding RNA. RefSeq lists it as uncharacterized. The record is from RefSeq and is a predicted model, not a curated record. NCBI's taxonomy places the organism in Eukaryota, Metazoa, Chordata, Actinopteri, Spariformes, Sparidae. The transcript has 3 exons.
UUUUGAUAAUCAGGCAGCCAAAAUUACAUCUGACAGUGGGACACAAGCACGCAAGCACUCAGACACACUCUCUUCCACACACACACGCGCGCACACACACAAACACUGUACGCAUCAGCACUUUGUUACAUAUUAAAAAAGGCUUCAGCUUCAUAAAACUGUCAAAUCCUCACUUCCAGGGGUUUUUCACCAGCUGAGACGUCACUGCAGAAGUGGCGGGUAGUUUCAUAAUGCUUGUUUAACAGCAACAGCCCUUUCUUAAGCUCACAUCUCCUCUCUGAAUCCCGUCUUUUUAACAAGGCCGGCACACAUUUAAAUGAGCUUUAGGAGUCAGAGCUUGGCAUCAAACUUGCAACUCUUGAGGAGCGCUCAUGCGUAGCUGUCUGUCUGCAUCUAUUUUUGUGCUUCUCUCAGUGUGUGUGGGCAUGUGUGAGCGUGUGUGUGUGUGAGCAUGUGUGUGUUUGUGUGUGCGUGUGUGUGUGUGUGUGUGUGUGUGUGAUGAGUAGGCUGAUGUGAUUAGCCAGAGCCAGUGGAGUGAAUAAUAUUGUGUCUGCCCCGACUAGGAAGAGAUGGAAUGUAGCUGCUGCUCUUUAUUAUACUGUAGAUCAUCUAGUCCACUAUCAGAUAUAAACAUUGUUAAGUGUGCCUGCGUGCACACACACACACACACACACACACACACAUACACAGACGUCAGCUCCCAUGCUCUUCUUAUACAGAUGGGCCCACUCACACACACAAAGUGCUGUAAGGCAGCGGCUGUGACACAUACGGCUACCAUUCUUUAUGUGUAUGAUUUGAAACGUUCCCAUCCCUUUUGCUGUUCAUGACUUUGCGAAGAGCCAAUAUUCACAAGUGUUUACAGCUUUCUCUGCUCUUUGUUUGCAGUAGUUUUAGUUUAUUAAUUUAUUAGAUAGCAAGAAGUCAAUCAAACAGUGACGGUUGCAGAAGCAGUGUCCAUUGUAUUGUAGAUGAGUUGCUGAAGCUAAUUCUCAACAACUAAUCCACUGAUUGGCAUUCAAAUUCAACAUUUUUGAGUCAACUGGAUUUGUCAGAUCGUGCGAUUGUGAAGGGUCAAACCACAGUAGUUUGGACCAAUCAGCGUCCUGGGACCUGGUAGCUAUGGCACGGUUAAAGGGAUAUUCCGGUGUUAGCUUAAUCCACAGUCUAACACACCGUGACACUGAGUAAGACCCCCCCUCAAGAGACCAAGUUUGCAGACCGGUACCUUACGUAGUUUUUGCAACCUCAGAAAAGACCAUGCAAUAGCAAUACACUGCAGUCUAUGCAGGGUUAGCAUAGUUAAUGUUAAUAUGUGUUUAUGUUGUUUACCCAAGAGGCUUUGGCAAGAGUUUGAUUUACCAGCUGACUCCGCUGGCGGCGCUCUCCUACAGUUGACCUGAUUGGUUGAAGUUGACCCCAAGACAGGCGAUCUGAGACACGUUCAUCCAGUCACCUGCCAAACACUGUCUUUAAAUUGCUGGCUCAUGACCAAACAGUUUCCAAGGACAGAUUCCCAGAUGGUUCCGUUUGACAAACCAUCUGGUGCAUCAACUUAUGAUAAUUCAAGUGAUCAUUAAAAUUACAUUAAAUUUUAAGAACUAAAAAAAUGGUGCAUUUAACAACCAAUAAAAGAGCGACCAUCCAUGACCAAACACAAACAAAACUUAGAAACAGACAAAUAUAACAAACAAGGCAACACCCAGAAUUGUUAGGGCAUUAAGUACAUAGAAACAGAACAAAUUCUUGUUGUCAUUCUGACAGUUCUGGCCAAGUUUUUUGUUUUUGUUUUUCUCUGAAUUCUUCCAGCAGAAUCCUUGCUGCUGCUCACAUUCUUUGAGAGCUCCCUCAAAGUGCCUUUUCCGCCAGCUCUCACUGUACAAACAUUGUUAAUAAACCGUCAGUUCCUCGACUUGUCUCGGGGCUGGAUUAAGAUUUAUGCUGCUUCACAUCUUAUCAGCCGGACCAGCUGCUGAAAUGACAUAUUAUAUUUGGACAGACGAUCAACAAGUCUAUGAAAUUCACCCUUUCUAGCUAAUCUCAACUCCAUCUCUGUCCUUUUUGUCUUUCUACAUCCUCCCUCUCUCCCCGGGGACUUUUGGGAGCAUUCUCAUUAUAUAUUCUUUAUGCAACCUGACAUGCUGAGAGGAUCAUCAAAUAGAGAAGCACGUACAGUUAUUGACAGACACCCAUGGCAGAGCCCUGAAGAAAUGAUGGAGGACUGCAGACAGCAAACAGCCUCAAAGGUCAUUCUUCACCAAUACUGACAAUAAGGCCUUUACUACUGAUAGGUAGCAUUAGGGGUGAUAGGUCAUGAAACAUUAUGUAUAGCGCAUUACUUUUGAAAAAAUUGUUAUCUAAAAAGGAUGCAUUACUUUACCUUUUUUACUCUCUGUAGAAAGUGAUCUGUCACAUUACGUUUGUGUUUCUCCGCAACAUCCACUGAGAUGAAAUGUCAUGUAAUUGUCAGUCAGACCUCAGAUAUGCCCACGUUUCAGUGGGCACUGAAUUGGAAUUUGUUGAAUUUCAUGGAUAUCUUUAUUGUUGAGUGGACGUGCAUCAAAAAGGCACAUUCUUUUCCAUCCCCUCAUGAUGCUGAUAUUUGAGAAGAUAGAGCACAAGUAAUGACACACUUGUUUGAGUCGUAACUACGAGGGGAUUGUAGGGAGAGUAACGCUUGAAGUUACUGCAGAAAUAGCAACAAUAAGAAACAAACUUAUUAAGUCAAGAAAAGGGGGUCAUGAUCCGUCCUGAUUCACAUAUUUUUUGUUGUGUUUUGGAUCAGCUGUGCAAAGCCUGAUCCAUUUCGACUAGGUGUUUGUAAUGCAGAGUGAAAUAAACACUCCAUGAUCCGGUGUCAGCGGGUAGUCAUAAGGACACUGAUUGGGAUUUGGCGCAAAACAAAAACAGACUUCCUUAUAACUAGCUUAAAGUUUUACCAAAGCAAAGCCAGUUUAUUUAUACAGCGCCAUUCAGACACAAGGCAAUUCAGAGUUCUUUACAGAGACAAGCAUUAAAAGAAGACAGAAAGAAUUAUCGCAAUGUUUGAACUGCAUUUCAAAAGACAGCAGACGCAGAGACGAGCUAACAGAAAGUUACAAAUUAAAAAGAAGUCAUGAAUGUGACGUUUUGUGGUGUAAUCUAGUUGCCUAGUGUGUCUUGGGAUUGGAUAUAUAUGGUCUAUAUAGAUAUAUAUAGAUAAUAAUGUAAUGUAAUGUUUCAAUUACGCACGUAUGAACUCAAACGCAUCAAAACAUGAGUCACAAGCUCAGUGGUUGUGGUCGUAUCAGUUUAUGACUGGCCGACGUUUUGUUCCAGCGUGUCGGGGUAAAUAGGCGUUAGGACAGCAUCCAAGCCAUUGUCACAGUUCACAGGAGUUUAACAGGGAGGAUCCUGACACACACAAUGUGGAUAAGAUUAUGAGGCUCCAAGACCACCAGUCUGUUUGACACCAGAUAAACUAAAUACACACACACUCACAAAACCAGUCUGUCUUUUAUUAGUCAAACAGUGCGCUAGUGUCUCUUGCAUUGUCUGACUGUCUGCCUGUCUGGCGGCGAGAGUCGCUGAGGUUCAGUUCAGUGUCACAACAAAGACGAAAGAGACGAAUAAAAUCAAAUCACUAUUUUUGAAUACAUUUACAUUGAUGCUGCACAUGUAAAAGUGCUGUGCCUUUGCUUAAAAGGGAUCGUGGUUAUUACCUGGUUAGGUUCAGGCACAAAAAUUCCUUGGGCCAGCCAAAAUUAAGUUUAGACUUAAAAUACAGGUUUUGUCGGCACAAACACGGCUAACAAAUCCUGAGAGCUUGUUAAAAAUAUCCAGUUCUGUUCCCACAAAAGAUGGAUUCAAAAUGUUCAAGGGGUCACAAAAUAACCCAGUUGAAAUGGUUGGCAAACAGCACUGACUCGCUUGGCAGUUGUCUCCGCUAUUUUCUGUUUUUGACAGUUGAAAUGGAGAGCAAGCGGUGGUCUCAAAUCGUUCUCUAAUAGCGGUAUCUCGCUGGGCAGCCUUCUCACCUAGCUGUCAUGUAACCACCAUCCCCUCCUCCCGUUUAUAAAACAGUCUGCUAUUAGACCACAUUCACAUGGCGGCCAUUUUCCUUUGACAGGGUGGGAAGCUCGAAUAUUGAUGUGUUUCUGGUUGCAAGUCAAAAAACAUAGGAAUCAUAAAAUUUUCUUGGUCUUGUUCCUGGUUGAUAAGCAACUGAAAAUACAAUGGAUCAUAAAAAACCUGGAGGGACAUCGCGUCGUUAUUUAAGGCAAAACAACAUAUUUAGUAACUGUUAGCGUUGCAUUCAACCAAUUCCUAGCUAACUUUACUGUUUGGUAGUGUAACAGUGUUAAAAUAUCAGUGCACAUAUUUGACAGCAUUAUAAUAUAAUAUAUAUAUAUAUAUUAACCUGAAAGUGAAAAAAGUAGAUGUAAUCAAACGGUAAUGUUAGCUAGGAAGUGAUUGAAUGCUAACAUUAGAUUCUCCCCAGAUCCAAUAUCUUUUCAGUGACUGAUGAGUCGGGAUUUGGAUGGUGAUCACCAUCUGUCAGAAUCAGUCAGAAGAAAAUGGCAGCCGUUUGAAUAUGGUCUAUAUGAACGUCAUAUCAUAUGUAUUGUAGAGAUGUUGAUGCGAUUUGUACAAAUUUAAAGUAUCCGUGGAUUGCAGAGAUGCACAUAAUGAAUAUUUGAUUCUGUAACUGUCUCUAUUUUCACAAGUCAGCCCGAACAACAACAUGUCGCAGAUACUUAAUGCACAUACACAGUUUAUUGCACUGACGGUUUAAUCUCAUCUGCUAACUGCUGUGUUGAUUGAGCUCCAUGUUUCAUUUGACACAUAUUUGAUCUCAACCACUGACCCAAUUCUGAAGCAAAAACAUAUUUCACCCUACAAACUGCAUCAUAGAACCCCACUGUGUCAUCAAUCUCUUUUUUGGUCGCUGAUAAAAGAGAGACCCCAACAAGUGCCGACUAUACUGUGCGCAGAAAAAUGUCACAUUCAGUACAUUUCAUAUGAUAGAUGACCACACACACAGUGAAACGUGUGCUGCACAAGUAAAUAUUACUAUGAUGGCUCACACACACACAUCUGUACAGGUUACUGUUCAUUAUGGGCUUAAACUCAUAAGAAGGAAGUGGUCACUCUCCUUUUUAAAAUACAAACAACAGCUGUGUACAUACACACAGCACACCCAAACACACACACACACAAAGGAUAUACACACAUAAACCAUCGACGCUCUUCACACGUACAUUCACACAGCAAAGAGGAAGUGGUGUUUUCUCAUUUGAUCCAACACACGCAAUCUUAGUCUUUCAUGCAGUCUCUCCAAACCACAAGCAUAAUACACACGCACACACAUGCCCAAAUAUACACAUUUUCACACGCCAGUCCGCCCUUUUCUUUUUCACGCCCACAUCCACUAUUUCUCCUUUUUAACACUCGCACACACGCACAGAUAAACACACACACUCACUCACAGCCACAAUGAUUCCAGCCCAUGGCACCGACACUCAGUUUGCCUGAUCUUCAGAGAACAAGGUAUCCUUGGCCAAGCCUGAAUACAAAUAUGUGGCAUGCAACUCCAGCCCCAUUCUUACAAAAGCCAAAACUGGCGUUUUCAUUUUUUCUUCCAGCUGCCAGUUUGAUGACAAGGUCAGUCUCAUUCUGUGACAAAGCUUUGCAUGACCAAAGUUCCGCUCGUUUAUUUUGAAAGGGGUUAAGACAUUGUUUCUAUUUAGAGCUCUCACCAGCGAUAAUAUAUAUAACCCAACAUGGAACAAUAACACAUUCUGCAAGUGUCUUUUAGAGGUUAGACACUGUUGAUAGAAAAAAGUAUUUUGAGAUUAGAUGUGUUUACAGAAGCACUGAUGUGUUUUUAAAGGGUUGCAGAGCAAUGCCAACUCUUUUCACAAACCUUUCCUGGCAGGACAGAACCUUUCAAUGGUUUUCAUUAGUUGUAUUUCACAUUGCAUGAGUGUUUUUGUACCCGGCAAUUUGAUACACCGCUGCUGUCUCCUCGUGUCUGUCUCAGAGCUCCUUGUUGAACUCUGUGACAAAGCUUUGUGUGACCUUCCUCCUUCCUGUUUACAUCACGAAAAAAUCAACACAUCAUGGCCUCUCUUAGGUCUCUGAAUUAGAGACAGGCCUGAGGAUGUGGGCGAGACUGAACUUCUACAUGGAGUUAUCAUCACACACUAAAUAUGCACUAAUGUUAUUGAUGAUGAAAAGCGUAUUUGGCAUUGUGGUGAAGUCUUUUUGUACAGUAGUGUUUGCAUUACCGUGUGUGAGAAUCAACAAAUACACUAGUUUGUCUUUGACUUUAUAUCUUUCAGCUGCCCUGGAAGAGCAGAGAACCCAGAAUGCAUUGCACCUGAGGGAGCAGAUGGAGGCGGAGCUAGAGCUUAUGAUUGACAGGGCGAAGAACCAGCUGCUGCUUCUUCAGUACCAGCGAGACGGCGCACAGCUUCAGCAGACGUUUUCCCAUCCUUUCUGUUUUCAUUCAUCACAUUUUGAGAGCACAUCAGAAAAGAUGACCUGAAGAUAGGGCUUGCAGAAUGAUGUCCGAUUGACUAAAGCAAC